RNAcentral lists this ribosomal RNA (253 nucleotides) under uncultured bacterium. RNAcentral describes it as "partial 16S ribosomal RNA". It matches the Rfam family "Bacterial small subunit ribosomal RNA", at positions 524 to 776 of the family's 1533-position model. The record is from RNAcentral.
UACGUAGGGUGCAAGCGUUAAUCGGAAUUACUGGGCGUAAAGCGUGCGCAGGCGGUUUUGUAAGUCUGUCGUGAAAGCCCCGGGCUCAACCUGGGAAUUGCGAUGGAGACUGCAAGGCUAGAAUCUGGCAGAGGGGGGUAGAAUUCCACGUGUAGCAGUGAAAUGCAUAGAGAUGUGGAGGAACACCGAUGGCGAAGGCAGCCCCCUGGGUCAAGAUUGACGCUCAUGCACGAAAGCGUGGGGAGCAAACAGG